Molecule: ribosomal RNA, 253 nt
Filed under: uncultured bacterium
Lineage: Bacteria
Description: partial 16S ribosomal RNA
Rfam family: Bacterial small subunit ribosomal RNA
Source: RNAcentral
UACGAAGGGGGCUAGCGUUGUUCGGAAUUACUGGGCGUAAAGCGCACGUAGGCGGAUAUUUAAGUCAGGGGUGAAAUCCCAGAGCUCAACUCUGGAACUGCCUUUGAUACUGGGUAUCUGGAGUAUGGAAGAGGUGAGUGGAAUUCCGAGUGUAGAGGUGAAAUUCGUAGAUAUUCGGAGGAACACCAGUGGCGAAGGCGGCUCACUGGACUGGUAUUGACGCUGAGGUGCGAAAGCGUGGGGAGCAAACAGG